UACAGAGGGUGCGAGCGUUGUUCGAAAUCAUUGGGCGUAAAGCGCGUGUAGGCGGCAUGGAAAGUCUGAUGUGAAAUUCCUCGGCUCAACCGGGGAGGGUCAUUGGAUACUUCCAUGCUUGAGUGCCGGAGAGGGUGAUAGAAUUCCUGGUGUAGUGGUGAAAUACGUUGAUAUCAGGAGGAAUACCAGAGGCGAAGGCGGUCACCUGGACGGUCACUGACGCUGAGACGCGAAGGUAUGGGUAGCAAACAGG
RNAcentral lists this ribosomal RNA (253 nucleotides) under uncultured bacterium. Its description in RNAcentral is "partial 16S ribosomal RNA". It matches the Rfam family "Bacterial small subunit ribosomal RNA", at positions 524 to 776 of the family's 1533-position model. The record is from RNAcentral.